GUGGGGAAUCUUGCGCAAUGGGCGAAAGCCUGACGCAGCCAUGCCGCGUGAAUGAUGAAGGUCUUAGGAUUGUAAAAUUCUUUCACCGGGGACGAUAAUGACGGUACCCGGAGAAGAAGCUCCGGCUAACUUCGUGCCAGCAGCCGCGGUAAUACGAAGGGGGCUAGCGUUGCUCGGAAUUACUGGGCGUAAAGGGCGCGUAGGCGGACAGCUUAGUCAGAGGUGAAAGCCCAGGGCUCAACCUUGGAAUUGCCGUUGAUACUGGCUGUCUUGAGUUUGGGAGAGGUGAGUGGAACUCCGAGUGUAGAGGUGAAAUUCGUAGAUAUUCGGAAGAACACCAGUGGCGAAGGCGACUCACUGGCCCAAUACUGACGCUGAGGCGCGAAAGCGUGGGGAGCAAACAGGAUUAGAAACCCCGGUAGUCC
RNAcentral lists this ribosomal RNA (425 nucleotides) under uncultured bacterium. Its description in RNAcentral is "partial 16S ribosomal RNA". It matches the Rfam family "Bacterial small subunit ribosomal RNA", at positions 354 to 796 of the family's 1533-position model. The record is from RNAcentral.